This 446-nucleotide ribosomal RNA is filed under the name uncultured bacterium. RNAcentral's name for it is "partial 16S ribosomal RNA". It matches the Rfam family "Bacterial small subunit ribosomal RNA", at positions 338 to 795 of the family's 1533-position model. The record is from RNAcentral.
CCUACGGGUGGCAGCAGUCGAGAAUCAUUCACAAUGGGGGAAACCCUGAUGGUGCGACGCCGCGUGGGGGAAUGAAGGUCUUCGGAUUGUACACCCCUGUCAUGUGGGAGCAAAUUAAAAAUAUAGUACCACAAGAGGAAGAGACGGCUAACUCUGUGCCAGCCGCCGCGGUAAUACGGAGGUCUCAAGCGUUGUUCGGAAUCACUGGGCGUAAAGCGUGCGUAGGCUGUUUCGUAAGUCGUGUGUGAAAGGCGCGGGCUCAACCCGCGGACGGCACAUGAUACUGCGAGACUAGAGUGAUGGAGGGGGAACCGGAAUUCUAGGUGUAGCAGUGAAAUGCGUAGAUAUCGAGAGGAACACUCGUGGCGAAGGCGGGUUCCUGGACAUUAACUGACGCUGAGGCACGAAGGCCAGGGGAGCGAAAGGGAUUAGAUACCCUAGUAGUC